CCAUGAACUUUGCAUCAUCGGGGAUAUCUAAAGGGUGCUGGGUGCAUUGCAAUGCUUUUUUCUCACAGCUCUGGUUUUUGCUGUCAAUCUCGUAGAAUAUCCCCUGGCGGAUGUAGAUACAGAUUCAGAUACGAAGAGCACAUGUCUGAACUCCACUCACAC
Molecule: long non-coding RNA, 162 nt
Organism: Sebastes umbrosus (honeycomb rockfish)
Lineage: Eukaryota; Metazoa; Chordata; Actinopteri; Perciformes; Sebastidae
Exons: 4
Source: RefSeq, a predicted model, not a curated record